AAGGGAAUUAGGUUAUCUAGACCAAGAGCCUUCAAAGCUCUAAGAAAAUAAAACAUUAUUUAUUCCCUG
Molecule: transfer RNA, 69 nt
Filed under: Lonchothrix emiliae (tuft-tailed spiny tree rat)
Lineage: Eukaryota; Metazoa; Chordata; Mammalia; Rodentia; Echimyidae
Description: tRNA-Trp
Source: RNAcentral